This 500-nucleotide ribosomal RNA is filed under the name uncultured bacterium. RNAcentral's name for it is "partial 16S ribosomal RNA". It matches the Rfam family "Bacterial small subunit ribosomal RNA", at positions 30 to 523 of the family's 1533-position model. The record is from RNAcentral.
AUUGAACGCUGGCGGCAUGCUUUACACAUGCAAGUCGAACGGUAACAGGGUGCUUGCACCGCUGACGAGUGGCGAACGGGUGAGUAAUGCGUCGGAACGUGCCGGGUAGUGGGGGAUAACGCAGCGAAAGUUGUGCUAAUACCGCAUACGUAUUGAGGUAGAAAGUGGGGGACCUUCGGGCCUCACGCUAUUCGAGCGGCCGACGUCUGAUUAGCUAGUAGGUGAGGUAAAGGCUCACCUAGGCGACGAUCAGUAGCGGGUCUGAGAGGAUGAUCCGCCAAACUGGGACUGAGACACGGCCCAGACUCCUACGGGAGGCAGCAGUGGGGAAUUUUGGACAAUGGGCGAAAGCCUGAUCCAGCCAUGCCGCGUGUCUGAAGAAGGCCUUCGGGUUGUAAAGGACUUUUGUCAGGGAGGAAAUCCCUAGUGCUAAUAACACUGGGGGAUGACAGUACCUGAAGAAUAAGCACCGGCUAACUACGUGCCAGCCGCCGCAGUAA